Homo sapiens (human) is the source of this 1591-nucleotide long non-coding RNA. Ensembl annotates it as PHKA2 antisense RNA 1. Its record names the gene PHKA2-AS1. Lineage: Eukaryota; Metazoa; Chordata; Mammalia; Primates; Hominidae. The record is from Ensembl.
GGACAUGCCUGUUCACUUCCAUGGCACUGCUGACUUGUGCUCACCCUAUGACGCCUCGCCCAGAGCACAGGAGGACAGUAUCCACUGCGGGGCGUUCACCCCACGCGAGCGGGGACAACAGGUCUAGCCCUAAACAACUGCUUGCCUGGCUAUAAGAGGAGCCUUGUCUUUUUUUUUUUUUUUUUCUAGAUUCCAGAAGAUGCAGUAUUUUUCCUAAGGCAGGAGAAAACCCUAGUUCAUAGACAGCCAGGAUAAAAACCCUGGAAGACCAUGAGCCAAGGUGAACGAAGAGGAAUUUUCUAAAUCUUGGGGACAGAGAAUUAUGUUACAUCAAGGCAGCCAUGCCAAUAAAAUGGAAGGCUAUGAAAGCAAGCAAGGCACAAGAAAACCCCCAUUCCACAGAGAGACACAAGUGUUCUAUUUGGUGAAGAGUUUGGUGCACAGACAGACUGCAUCCUGUGAAGAGGUGGCCCUUGUCAAGGCUACUGCCGCCAGGAGGAUCUUUGCAUCUUUAGGAUGUGUCACUAGCUCAUCGAAACUAUUUCUGUAACUCUCUGCAAGAGCCAAUUUAAGCUGGCGUCUCAGUUCCCUCUGCACUCAAAAGAGACCAAUUUCCAAUUCCUCCUCAGAGUCCGUGAGACCAGAUGCUACAGCAAAUGUUCCAGAGAAAUGAACCUAGAAAAUGAUCCCGGGGUGCUCCUUGCGGGGGAACACAGGACUCCUCAGCUCUAUCUCUGUGGCUUUAACAUACAUCAGUUUCAGGAAUCUCCAGCCUCAACAGAGAUAAAUGCCAGCCAACCCAGCUCCCUGGCACCCCCACCUGGUCCUGCAAGAACAGCUGACUGGCCAUCUGCACGAUCUGGUCCACGUGGAUGAUGCCCCCGAUGCUGGUCAUCUCCGUGUCCGAGAGCAGCGUCAGCACCAUGAUGGCUUCCACCAGCAGCUGCCGGUACUCGGGCUGCGGCACGCGGUUCAGCACCGAUUCGACAUGGACAGCAAACUUGAUCUCAUGCGGGGUCAUCUACCAAAGGGACAGGCAGGCAACCACCAGUGAGAGGACAGAUGCAGCCCUAUCAAUCAAUCACCGAGUAACCAAGGGUGACCGUAGCAGUGCCUGGGCUCGGGGCUCAGCGCCACUGCUGCCCCUUUUCUGGCCACUCCCUGGAUCCUGCUGGCAGUGGCCCUCAGAGCAGGAGGCUGGAGUAUGCCUCCAGGAGCCAGCCUGUCCUCGCCUGAUUUAUCUACCCUUCCCCCCAUCGACUACAGCUUCCAGGGAGCAGGGACCAUUUCUGGUUUCUCUUUCCUCUUCAUUAUUCCUUCCAGCAUGAAGCAUGGUGCUUUGGGUGGGGUAAAACUAAAAAAAAAUCCAUGUUAAAAAGAAUGACAAAUCACCUAGGGACGAUUACUGUUUUUAGUUGGAGAAAAGGGCCGAGAAGGCUGCCCAUGGGGCAGGCCAGGGUGGCAUGGAGAUUGGCUCCUUUCUUUCACCAGGGUUCUAAGGGGUGUCUGGCAAAUGCAAAGAGCUUGCUAGCCCAGAAAUGCUGAGUCUCAGGUGAAGAAAAAGGCUGAUGCCAAUAAAUGCUGGAAAGAC